CAUCCGGAGAUGCGUGGUGCGCACGCAUCUGAUGGACUAUCUGAUGCGUGCGCACCACGUGACCAAAACAAUCAUGGCGGACGUCAAACUGUCAAAGCGAUGAAGACGAGAUUGGGCCGAGCUGUCGGCAUUUACUUCAUCACCUACUCCGUGAUCUGUCAUCCACGAAUGCCAACCUGGGUCCAGUCACAAGAUUCUCAUUCUCAAGAUCAUCUCCUUGCUCCAAGUUACUACCACACUCUGACUUCAUCCUUCAACCAUGCCAAGCCUGUUCUUCCUACACCAAGCUCCGCUUACCUUUAUCUUGCCUCUCAACGUUGGCUUCCAAAGAAACUUACCUCCAUCUCUACACCUCAUUACUCCAUCUUCAGUGACUCCUCCGCUGCCAGUCUACCUACCACCAAGGAAUUUGAAAUAAAUCUUCUAUCGCCAUCUCCAGUGUUUGUCUUUCUGGGUUUCAACACUUGGGUCUGUUCUGGUCCUAGCCCGGCAUGACAAUUACUGUGACUAUGCUAACUCCCCACCUUGUUAAAAAGAAAUGCAGUCUGACACCCCUAAACAUUAGCAGCAUUCGUGUAUUUACAAUAACACCCAAUCUCUUGUGUAACUCAAAAAAAAGAACAAAAAACAGACUGAAAUUUUGACGGAGCGCCAUGUACCUCUCAAAAUCGCUUUGACAUCAGUAAACAUGACCAGAAGUAAUCCAUGUAUAAGGUGGUCUGGAUUAUAAGUGGUACUGUUGUUUUUUUGAAAAAAAUUACACUUUUUAAGUGCGGAAAAAAUACCAUGCUGUGUCAGUUUUUCUUUUAGUUACCUCAGGAAGUUCUCGACACUUUGAACAACUGAAGUUGCUUUAAAGGUACUGUCAAAAAAUGUUGGCUUUGAGUUCUUUUUUUAUUAGUUUCAUCCUUUUUGUUAAGUGUAAUUUAUUUCCUGCACCUGGUUCCUUUCAAUUGUCUCCUGCUGCUUUCUCUCAGUGAUUCACUCCUGCAGUAAAAACUCACCUUCCUUUCA
Oryzias latipes (Japanese medaka) is the source of this 1014-nucleotide long non-coding RNA. RefSeq lists it as uncharacterized. The record is from RefSeq and is a predicted model, not a curated record. Lineage: Eukaryota; Metazoa; Chordata; Actinopteri; Beloniformes; Adrianichthyidae.